RNAcentral lists this ribosomal RNA (253 nucleotides) under uncultured bacterium. RNAcentral describes it as "partial 16S ribosomal RNA". It matches the Rfam family "Bacterial small subunit ribosomal RNA", at positions 524 to 776 of the family's 1533-position model. The record is from RNAcentral.
UACGAAGGGGGCUAGCGUUGUUCGGAAUUACUGGGCGUAAAGGGCGCGUAGGCGGUACUUCAAGUCAGGCGUGAAAGCCCUGGGCUCAACCUGGGAAUGGCAUUGGAUACUGGCGACCUAGAGUGCGGUAGAGGGUGGCGGAAUUCCCGGUGUAGCAGUGAAAUGCGUAGAGAUGUGGAGGAACACCGAUGGCGAAGGCAGCCCCCUGGGCUAACACUGACGCUCAUGCACGAAAGCGUGGGGAGCAAACAGG